ACUUGCAGCAAGAGAGGGCUGAGCAAAAUGCAGUAGAACAGGCACAGAGACAGAGCUGGCAAUCAUCUCAGUGCAGGCUGCUGAAUGUAAGGGGUGGGGGGGAUGCAGCACAGCAAGAUUAAUAACCUUGUUCUAAUCCUAUGUACCCUGGAAGGAGAUACGUUUGGUGACUGAGCUGUUCUUGUCUUAAUUGAUUAGGCUGGGUGAAUGAGUGGCUGGCAAGGCACAUUGCUGAAAGGAGACCCCCCUGAUUUUGCUGCUCUCUGAAGCCUCUACCCAUCUGGCAAGGUAGUGAGACGUACCAUCUGCAGCACACACAGCAGCUACUACCGACAGUUUGCACUACAGGUUUGAUGGUGAGCAAGAAGCCAGGUAUAUUGUGCACUGGGAUAUUUCUGUGCUCAAGCUACUGAAUUUCACAGUCUGAUCCUUCUGCAGCCCCCUUUCCAAUUGCCUGUGAGUUCUGGGAUCUACUUUUGGCAUCGUCUCUUUGGAGGUUUUUUGCUGGGAAUGGAAGAUCGGUAAAUGGAACCUCUGAAAACAAAUUUGGUUUGCCUCUGCCUGACUCGAGCACGAGGGAAGCAAAAGCAUCAAAACCUCCUGAAGGGAUUUAAAUUUCUUUUGAAGAAGUUUACAGAGGGACCGGACAAAAGGGCUGAAGCUAGAAGCAACAGAAUGCUAAAUGAACAUAAGUAAAAAUAGAUACUGAAAUGAUGAUGCUAAGACAGAAUGGUUAAGCUUUUCCCAACAACUCCACAAGCACUGACUAACCACAGCUGAGCCUCAUCUUUAUUGAAAUGCCUGAAAUUUGACACAAUAUUCUGUGU
Molecule: long non-coding RNA, 827 nt
Organism: Neopsephotus bourkii (Bourke's parrot)
Lineage: Eukaryota; Metazoa; Chordata; Aves; Psittaciformes; Psittacidae
Exons: 3
Source: RefSeq, a predicted model, not a curated record